RNAcentral lists this ribosomal RNA (505 nucleotides) under uncultured bacterium. RNAcentral describes it as "partial 16S ribosomal RNA". It matches the Rfam family "Bacterial small subunit ribosomal RNA", at positions 28 to 507 of the family's 1533-position model. The record is from RNAcentral.
GAUGAACACUGGCGGCGUGCCUAAUACAUGCAAGUAGAACGCACAGAUUAUACCGUAGCUUGCUACACCAUAGACUGUGAGUUGCGAACGGGUGAGUAAUGCGUAGGUAACCUGCCUGGUAGCGGGGGAUAACCAUUGGAAACGAUAGCUAAUACCUCAUAAUAUUAAUUAUUCCAUGAUAAUUAAUUGAAAGGUUGAAUCUCACCACUACCAGCUGGACGUGCGUUGUAUUAGCUAGUAGGUGAGGUAACGGCUCACCUAAGCGACGAUACAUAGCCGACCUGAGAGGGUGAUCGGCCAAACUGGGACUGAGACAAGGCCCAGACUCCUACGGGAGGCAGCAGUAGGGAAUCUUCGGCAAUGGACGGAAGUCUGACCGAGCAACGCCGCGUGAGUGAAGAAGGUUUUCGGAUCGUAAAGCUCUGUUGUAAGAGAAGGACGGGUGUGAGAGUGGAAAGUUCACGCUGUGACGGUAUCUUACCAGAAAGGGACGGCUAACUACGUG